GUCUAUGGCCAUGCUACCCUGAACAAGCUUCAUGCCAUCUGAUCUCGGAAGCUAAGCAGGGUUGGGCCUGGUUAGUACUUGGAUGGGAGACCACCUAGGAAAACCAGGUUUUGUAGGCA
RNAcentral lists this ribosomal RNA (119 nucleotides) under Pteropus alecto (black flying fox). Lineage: Eukaryota; Metazoa; Chordata; Mammalia; Chiroptera; Pteropodidae. The record is from RNAcentral.